RNAcentral lists this unclassified non-coding RNA (300 nucleotides) under uncultured fungus. RNAcentral's name for it is "partial contains 5.8S ribosomal RNA, internal transcribed spacer 2, and large subunit ribosomal RNA". Lineage: Eukaryota; Fungi. The record is from RNAcentral.
AACGCAUAUUGCACUCUCUGGUAUUCCGGGGAGUAUGCCUGUUUCAGUAUCAUUGAUCACAUUCAUUCUACAAUGGAGUUGGACUCUUCUGCCUUUCGAAAAAAGGCUGGUCCCAAAGAAUCGUCGGCAAUUAAGGAGAGAAUUGUCAAAGCGCAAUAGUUGAUCCUCGAAAGGGAUCGUCUUUCGCUUUAUUUCUCUCUUUUCUUGCGAAAAGUCAUAUAUUUGUCUGUAUCUAAAGAUGCAGAUGAAUGUGCAUUUCAUCUUGAUCUGAAAUCAGGUAGGGUUACCCGCUGAACUUAA